This 225-nucleotide unclassified non-coding RNA is filed under the name uncultured Crinipellis. RNAcentral describes it as "sequence contains ITS1". Lineage: Eukaryota; Fungi; Basidiomycota; Agaricomycetes; Agaricales; Tricholomataceae. The record is from RNAcentral.
UUGAAACAUUGUGAAGGAGGUUGAGCUGGCUAAAAUAAAACCUUAGCAUGUGCUUGCCUUCUUUCAAUCUUCAUCCACCUGUGCACUUUCUGUAGGGAUAUUAGAAGUCUGGAAUAGGUGUAAAAGCCUUAGUACGGGUUUUCUAUUCUCUAUGUCUUUUUACACACUUGAUGUAUGUUUAUGAAUGUCUACUAGGGACUUGAUUGACCCUAUAAAAGUUUUAUA